Non-coding RNA from Habropoda laboriosa, 46 nucleotides. The record is from Rfam. Lineage: Eukaryota; Metazoa; Arthropoda; Insecta; Hymenoptera; Apidae.
GAACCGGCCCUUUUUAGGGCCACCAAAUAAUUUGAAUCGAAGGAAU